UCCGUUCGCUGCAUUCCC
RNAcentral lists this microRNA (18 nucleotides) under Tribolium castaneum (red flour beetle). RNAcentral describes it as "tca-miR-3049-3p". Lineage: Eukaryota; Metazoa; Arthropoda; Insecta; Coleoptera; Tenebrionidae. The record is from miRBase by way of RNAcentral.